This 329-nucleotide ribosomal RNA is filed under the name uncultured eukaryote. RNAcentral describes it as "partial 18S ribosomal RNA". It matches the Rfam family "Eukaryotic small subunit ribosomal RNA", at positions 1470 to 1796 of the family's 1831-position model. The record is from RNAcentral.
CCCUUAGAUGUUCUGGGCCGCACGCGCGCUACACUGACGAUGGCAACGAGUUUUUCCUUCGCCGAAAGGUGUGGGUAAUCUUUUGAAACAUCGUCGUGCUGGGGAUAGAUCAUUGCAAUUUUUGAUCUUGAACGAGGAAUUCCUAGUAAGCGCGAGUCAUCAGCUCGCGUUGAUUACGUCCCGGCCCUUUGUACACACCGCCCGUCGCUACUACCGAUUGAAUGGUUUAGUGAGGACUCCUGAUUGGCGCCGCCGCCCCGGCAACGGAGCAGCGGACUGCCGAAAAGUUGUUCAAACUUGAUCAUUUAGAGGAAGUAAAAGUCGUAACA